This is a long non-coding RNA of Lathyrus oleraceus (garden pea), 929 nucleotides long. RefSeq lists it as uncharacterized. The record is from RefSeq and is a predicted model, not a curated record. The transcript has 2 exons. NCBI's taxonomy places the organism in Eukaryota, Viridiplantae, Streptophyta, Magnoliopsida, Fabales, Fabaceae.
GAUAUCACUUGGUUUUGUUUAGUUCCAAACUAACUAAUCAAAUUCAACUUUUCCUCUUUUCUCUUUUUCCAAUGUUAGCUCCAAAUUCAAAUUUCUUUUAUAUUUUCUCUCAUUUCUCUUAUAUCACUUUUCACUUCCCUCAUUCACCGCGAGAAUCACUUUUUCUUCCUCUUAUUCUUUAUUUUCUCUUCCUCUUCCUCCUAUGUAAAAACCUAAAUAGACAUUCUUCUUCAUUUUCCAAUUAAAAUCAAAUCCACAUCUUAAAUCGUAGAAAGUUGGCGACGAGAUUCCGAUUGUCGUGGUUCAGUAUAUCGUCGGUGGUGCGUCGGGGAAAGAAGGGGCGAAUUUGAUGUGCAAGAUGGUGGUCGAUUUAUCUUGUUAUGAUUGAAUAACAUGUUAUAUAAACUUCUUCCAAUUUCCUUUGUUUUCUUAGGGUUUUGUGUAGUUGAAGUUCAAAACUGCUAUUAAUGAAAAUGAUAAUGAUGGUUGAUGAAGAAGGUGGUGAUAUAAGUUUGAAUGGUGAUGAUAUGUUGAAGAUGGUGAGUUAUUCCUAUGUAUUUGAACCAUAUGUUUCUGAUUUGCUGUUUUUCACUGCAGUGUGCGAUUUCGCUGUGGUAUAUAUGUGGUGGCGACAAUCAUGAAUUUCUAAAGCACUUAUUCACAUAUUGUCAACAAGAUCGAAUGUAGGACAUUAUUUUUAGUGUAUUCUACUUGAAGCCUUUUCUUACUAAUGUAGUAAACGUAUCAUUUCAUAAGCUCAGAGAUUGAUUAUGUUUUUCUUUUUUCGUUUUGGGAGCUUGGGAAUAGUCAGUCCUUAUAAUUUUGAGUCGUGUUAUACUAAUAACAUGUUGUGGCCAUGUAAUUUAUGAGCUUAUGAAGUGUAAUUUGGAGCUAUUUAAUUUAUGAAGUGUUCCAAUUUUGUUAGGAUA